This 456-nucleotide ribosomal RNA is filed under the name uncultured bacterium. Its description in RNAcentral is "bacterial SSU rRNA". It matches the Rfam family "Bacterial small subunit ribosomal RNA", at positions 29 to 491 of the family's 1533-position model. The record is from RNAcentral.
AACGAACGCUGGCGGCAGGCCUAACACAUGCAAGUCGAACGCCGUAGCAAUACGGAGUGGCAGACGGGUGAGUAACGCGUGGGAACAUACCCUCCGGUUCGGAAUAACUCAGGGAAACUUGAGCUAAUACCGGAUACGUCCAAGGUUUUAAUCGGCCUUGGAGAAAGAUUUAUCGCUGGAGGAUUGGCCCGCGUCUGAUUAGCUUGUUGGUGAGGUAAUGGCUCACCAAGGCGACGAUCAGUAGCUGGUCUGAGAGGAUGAUCAGCCACAUUGGGGACUGAGACACGGCCCAAACUCCUACGGGAGGCAGCAGUGGGGAAUAUUGGACAAUGGGCGAAGGCCUGAUCCAGCCAUGCCGCGUGAGUGAUGAAGGCCUUUAGGGUUGUAAAGCACUUUCAGUAGGGAAGAAAGCGNGUGCUAAUAUCAUUCGGUCUUGACGUUACUUACAGAAGAAGC